UACGAAGGGGGCUAGCGUUGCUCGGAUUGACUGGGCGUAAAGGGCGCGUAGGCGGUUCGUACAGUCAGACGUGAAAUUCCUGGGCUCAACCUGGGGGCUGCGUUUGAUACGUGCGGACUUGAGUGCGGAAGAGGGUCGUGGAAUUCCCAGUGUAGAGGUGAAAUUCGUAGAUAUUGGGAAGAACACCGGUGGCGAAGGCGGCGACCUGGUCCGAUACUGACGCUGAGGCGCGAAAGCGUGGGGGGCAAACAGG
This 253-nucleotide ribosomal RNA is filed under the name uncultured bacterium. RNAcentral describes it as "partial 16S ribosomal RNA". It matches the Rfam family "Bacterial small subunit ribosomal RNA", at positions 524 to 776 of the family's 1533-position model. The record is from RNAcentral.